CCCUUAGAUGUUCUGGGCCGCACGCGCGCUACAUUGACUGACUCAACGAGUGUACAACCUGCUUCGACAGAAGUGGGUAAUCUUUUGAAAUUCAGUCGUGAUGGGGCUAGAUUAUUGCAACUAUUAAUCUUCAACGAGGAAUGCCUAGUAAGCGCGAAUCAUCAGUUCGCGUUGAUUACGUCCCUGCCCUUUGUACACACCGCCCGUCGCUCCUACCGAUUGGGUGCUCCGGUGAAUUGUUUGGACUGCUGUCAGUCUUUUAGGCUGUUGGCGAGAAGCUCUGUGAACCUUAGCACCUAGAGGAAGGAGAAGUCGUAACA
RNAcentral lists this ribosomal RNA (320 nucleotides) under uncultured eukaryote. RNAcentral's name for it is "partial 18S ribosomal RNA". It matches the Rfam family "Eukaryotic small subunit ribosomal RNA", at positions 1470 to 1796 of the family's 1831-position model. The record is from RNAcentral.